AUACGAAGGGAGCUAGCGUUGUUCGGAAUUACUGGGCGUAAAGGGCGCGUAGGCGGUCAGACAAGUCAGAUGUGAAAGCCCCGGGCUCAACCUGGGAACUGCGUUUGAUACUGUCUGGCUUUGAAUUCGGUAGAGGUGAGUGGAAUUCCCAGUGUAGAGGUGAAAUUCGUAGAUAUCCGGAGGAACACCAGUGGCGAAAGCGGCUUCCUGGCCCAUUUCUGACGCUCAGACGCGAAAGCUAGGGUAGC
This 248-nucleotide ribosomal RNA is filed under the name uncultured bacterium. RNAcentral describes it as "partial 16S ribosomal RNA". It matches the Rfam family "Bacterial small subunit ribosomal RNA", at positions 523 to 769 of the family's 1533-position model. The record is from RNAcentral.